Molecule: long non-coding RNA, 1659 nt
Organism: Anguilla anguilla (European eel)
Lineage: Eukaryota; Metazoa; Chordata; Actinopteri; Anguilliformes; Anguillidae
Exons: 2
Source: RefSeq, a predicted model, not a curated record
AAUUACCCAUGAUAGUCGGACACUCUCCCUUGUGGCGUAUGUGCCGUCAUUUUCAUUGAAAAUUUCGAAAGGACGUGGGCAAAAAAAAGUAGUUGUCCCUUAUUUAGGGUAAUUAAACUACCUUUGUGUGGAAUUUCGUGUCCACCCGAACAUAUGGGCAUAUUGCGAAGCAUUUAAUAAACGUCACCCUGUCCGAGUGCAUAAAAUGGGACAUUUUGGCACUUGUCGACGAUAUCGGUAGAGUUGACAGCCUACUCUCGCAGACUUUGAAUAUGCCAUUGGCCUCUUGGUGACUUCUCUGAUCCUCUCCUCCUUGCUUGGCCGUCCAGUUUGGAGGAACGGCCUGAUGUACAUAAGAUCGUGUGGGGCACUUCUACCGUCAACUUUUUUAUGGACUGUGUUCCAACGGAAAUUUAAGUCCUUUUAUAUCUUUUAAUCCCUUUGCACUGAUGACAAAUCUGUCCUACUUAUGUAUUUAUAUGUGCACUAGAUGUAAGCAUCACAGCGACAUGGAAAAUAGCUUAAAUGAAGCAAGUGUAUCAUUUAUGUAUAAUUUAUAAUGCAAACUUUACUUUAUUUUCAUAAAUUGCAUAUAACACAGUGCCACAAGCAUAAAGAAAUUUAGUAGAAAAUGUUAAAGUGAAGUUGCUCUUCUUUAGUUUGCAAUGAACUACUGAGAGUCUCAGUAAACUCCUUUAUCACAAGUAUGCAAAAUCUAAGGGUACUAUGCAGAACUACUAAAGUUCUCUGGGAAGCAAAAUGUAAUCAAUGUACCCUGGUGUCCCUUGGUGUCUCCAGAUCUAUCCAGAAUGGCUCAAUGGUGCAUUGAUGUAAGUAAUAAAAUAAUCAUAUUUAAUUACAAAUCAACUAUUUUGAUUCAUGAAAUUCACUUUUGCAUCCUUUUCAAGUGGAAAUUAUAGAGGGUGGAUAUCUCGGGAUCCAAAAACCUCUCAGAAAAUGAUUUAAAUGCAUUUUGUUCAUUAUAAAACAUUUAAAAUUGCCCAUUUUUCACCAGGACCUCUGGAGAAAUGUUAUAAUAGGAGCAAUAAAAUGGAGAUGACAUGAUGCGAAAGCAUUGUAACACACUUUGAUACACACAUCUAAAUACGUAAUUAUACACUCCUGUACUUCAAUAAAACACCAUGUUUGUCUGUACUCUACAGUAUGUAAUAUUUUGUUGCAUACCCAGGGAUAACAUUUCCGUUAUGGGUUUCACAAAUGUUGCUAUUUAUAAUCAUUCAAUGGGAAAUUUUACAUUCAUCUAGCACAUAUGAGCAGAGAAAAUUUGAUUAACUACUUUCCAUGCUCAUGGAGACACUAAUACCCCAUAGUCUAGCUUAUGUACAAUGAAAAGAUAAUAUGCCACCAUCAGGAAAAUGCUGCCAAUGUUCUAGCUUCACAGCAGAAUGGUGCAUCAAACAUAAGACGAGAGCCACCAAUGAAUGCUUAUACCGCAGAAUAUGACAUGUCUUCUUUAAAGAAUAGCGCUAACCUCGUGAAAGACACUCAAUUUAAUUGUGAAAGGUAUGAAUUCUGACAAAAUUGACCACAAAAAGUCACUUCAAUAACAGUGAUUACCUGUUAGCUAGCUCGCAAUACAAUAGUGAGUGUUAUUAGCAAAGGCAAAUCGGCAGUUGUCGAUUAUGACCAAUGUGAAUA